CCCGCACAAGCGGAGGAGCAUGUGGUUUAAUUCGAUGAUACGCGAGGAACCUUACCUGGGCUCGAACGUAAGAUGACUGUAGGUGAAAAGCUUUACAUCUCUUCGGAGCAUUUUACGAGGUGCUGCAUGGUUGUCGUCAGCUCGUGCCGUGAGGUGUCGGGUUAAGUCCCAUAACGAGCGCAACCCUACCUUUAGUUGCCAUCAGGUAAUGCUGGGGACUCUAAAGGAACUGCCUACGCAAGUAGUGAGGAAGGCGGGGAUGACGUCAAAUCAGCACGGCCCUUACGUCCAGGGCUACACACGUGCUACAAUGGCCGAUACAGAGGGCAGCUACCUGGUGACAGGAUGCAAAUCUCCAAAGUCGGUCUCAGUUCGGAUCGGAGUCUGCAACCCGACUCCGUGAAGUUGGAUUCGCUAGUAAUCGCGCAUCAGCCAUGGCGCGGUGAAUACGUUCCCGGGCCUU
This 463-nucleotide ribosomal RNA is filed under the name uncultured Sphingobacteriales bacterium. RNAcentral describes it as "bacterial SSU rRNA". It matches the Rfam family "Bacterial small subunit ribosomal RNA", at positions 920 to 1382 of the family's 1533-position model. Lineage: Bacteria; Pseudomonadati; Bacteroidota; Sphingobacteriia; Sphingobacteriales. The record is from RNAcentral.